CAGUAAGGCUUGAUUCAAGGCUUGAAUUAGAAGCAGCCUUCACUUGCCAAUCAAGGCUGAAGUUGAAUCCAGCUGGAAACGAUCUUGCUUGACAUUCAACUCGGAAUCCCCUUGAAUUUCCAUACUAGAAUCGAAAGCAGCAUACCCUUGUUUUUCAAGGCUAACAAACUUGGUUGGAAUCGAUCUUGAAUAUGGCUCGAUAGGUAUUUGUUCGAAUUUUGCUUUUAUUGCAUGGGUCAAACAAGUCUUGACUUUGCCUUGAAUACCCCUUGUCAGUUAAAGCCGACAGACUUGAUAGGAAUUGAUCAUGAAUAUGGCUCGAUAGGUAUUCGUUCGAAUUUAGCUUUUAUUGCAUGGGUCAAACAAGUCUUGACUUUGCCUUGAAAACCCCUUGUCAGUUAAAGCCGAUUUGAAUUGAUCUUGAAUAUGGCUUGCUAUGCAUUCCCUUGAAUUUUGCUUCUAUUGCGAGUGUCAAACAAUCCUCGAGUAGCCUAUUUUACAUUGUCUUUUUGGAUAUUCCCUUCCAAAAUCUCCUCCAAUACAGGGGAGAGGAGACCAACCUGUAGUGUUCAUGUGUUGGAAUUUUGAACUAAAGUUUAGUGCAGCGCCUUUUUUGAAUGCUGAAUUGGUCUGAUUCAGUAUGUUUUCAUUGUAUUCAGUUAUAAAAGUUAUUCAGCUGCUGGAAAUGCCCUAAUAUUAUAUUGAAGAUAGUGACUCUUAUGUUUCAUUAAUUGAGUCCCCUUUUACAGAAGAAAAAAUACAAGAGAAUAAUUUAUUUGACACAUCUUCAUAUGAAAUCAAGAUUUUCUUUAAGGGUAGACUUUGAAUGAAAUCAAUGUUAUUGUUCAAUCGAUUGUUAUGUAUACAAUUUUUUAUGAUGAUAGUACAUAGAAAACCUGUUUAUUCACGGUAUAAGGCUUUCUAGACAAUAAUUGUCUCUUACUUAUUACUAAGUAGUUGAGCUAUAUUUUAUUACUGAUCAGAGCUAUUUAUUGAAGGGUUGACCGCUUAUUCAAGAGUCUUAAUCAAACAACAUGUAGGCUUAUAGGCCUACGGAUUUGGUGGAUUAAAAUUUGAACUGGUGAUUGGCAUAGAACUGGAACUCUUAUUGAAGUUCAUGAUCGAAAUCAACCCUGAAUGGAAUCACUAAUUACAUUGAUUAUUAAUUGAUUGAAGCUUCUGAAAUUGUAUAAUAAUCAUAAUUGAAGGUUAGAGGAUCAGUCAAUAAAUCUUGAUAAUCGGAAGGAGAAAAGGGAGAUAAACUUAAAAAAAACUAAGUAAACUUUUAAAACUGAGACAUUGGAUAAGGAGUGAAUUCAGUGACUGAGAUAAUAAGAGUGUGAAUAACAUUUGAAUAAAGAAUAGACUAGACAUGGAUGAUGAGUCAUUAGACAAUUGGCGUAAAAGUGAGUCAUGAGAGAAAAAUAUAGGUACAGACUUAUCAUGUUUCAGAUUAUAUAUUAUAUUAUUUUAUGCUAUGUUACUAGAUUCCAAAGAAACCUCCAUUCAGUCCAUAUGAAAUAUGUUUUUGUUCAACUCUCCUUUCAUUUUUUAUGUUCAUUCCACCUUUUUGAGGGGCACGUCUUGUCCCUCAAAAAUUGAAAAGAUCGCACCACAUCAGAGAAUAUGACGAAGAAAUGAAGAAGUCACUUGCUGAACUCUUUCCCAAUUGAUAAUUAAUAAUUCCAUUCAAUCCUACCAAGCAAUAGACCUAGUUGCUAUCUGAAUUAAGAUUCUACACCGUAGACUAGCUAAUUAGAAAUGAAAAUUCGCCAAUGAAUAUUUAUUUAUUUAUUUAUACGUGGAUACAAUAACAAAUCAUAUAAAUAUGAUUGGGAAGGAACAACAGGCUUGGCCCUAAUCUAAAAAAUCUAAUUGCUGCUUGGGGGUUGUGAUAAAAUGUUAAAUAAUUCCCUGAUUUGUGGCAUUGAUAUUCCCCCACUUCACGAAAUACAAAAUUCAAUUGAAAACUGUUGUAAUAGUUCAGUACAAGAGUAUACUGAACUACAGAUGAAUUCCUUAAAAGGUAUUUAUACAAUAAAGUGCAUAUUCGAUGGAAAAUUAUACACAUUAUAGAAUGAAACUCAAAUCAUGCAUUAUAUAAUAAUGUAAUAUAAUCGUGAAUUGCAUAAUAUGAAAUGUAUAUUAUGGGUAUAGAGAAAUUCGUCAGAAAUCUGAUUCUAAGCUGAGAAAUGCAAGCAUGUUAAUGAUCACUAUUUUUCAACAAGAUUAAAAUAAAAAAUUGGAAAUAGAUUUUCUGUCUGGGUAGCAAACCUUAUCUGUUUCAAAUUACACAAAAAGCAACCAUUUGUGAGAAUCCCUCUCACAAGCCCCAAGCAGCAAUUAGAUUUUUCUUAAAUGAAGGGCGAACCCUUCAUUUAAGAAAAAUCUAAUUGCUGCUUGGGGGUUGUGAUAAAAUGUUAAAUAAGCUUUUUGAGAACUUUUUAAUAAAAUGUUACAAUUUGACAUACGCUCUACUAAGGUCUAGGAUGUUUUGGUGAAAAUGUUUUCAAAUCCUCCCAAAAUUACGCUAGAAAUUAACGUAACUUUAAUUCAAUUAAAAUAUUAACUGCUUCUUAUAUUUGAUAGAGCUUCUCAAUCAGCGAUCUAUAUAGCAGUCCAUGGAGCAUGUUUCCAGUUUUCUGCUGAAGGAUAGAACAUGCAACAAAAAAUGUUUUGUUUCAUGGUCAGGAAUUUGCACUACCCUAUUCAAUUUUCAAACAAAAGGGAAGACAGCUUUUUGUCAGUGACAUUUUGGGCUGAAAACAGGAAUCCAACACUCGCCCUCUAGCAGUCUCCUUCACUCACUCACUCUCUCUCCCUCUAACACACACUUUCUCACACCCACUCUCUCACUCACUCACACUUUCUCUCUCUCUCACUCACACACACAUACAGUCCCACACAUACACAAACGCACAUGCACCUACUUUCUACUUUCUAUUUUCCAGUCACCACUAUAUUUCUCCACUAUACGUGCUAUAGUGUGUCCAACGGCCAACUCCAAGGUACGAAGUGGAGAGGGUAUGAUGGUUUGGUUUUGAAUUUCUGAGACAAGACAAGAGUUCUUCCAUUCGAGAAUUUCUGUUUGUUAGUUCACUUUUCACUACGGUUUAAACUUUAAAGCUUUAAAGUGGAUGACAUAUCGCACAGUGCGCUCCAGUAAUCCAGUGAGAUAGUUAGUUGUAGUGUAUAGGUUUGUUUUAAUUAUUGAGUUUCUAUCUGUUGUUUUUCCUGUUUCCUGUGUUCUUCAUUUUUGUCUUCGUUCCUCUUCGUUACUGUGUCUGCUCCUGAGUCUACAGUGUCAGUGCAGCGAAGAAGCGAGUCCAAACAGCAGUGAAAUAACAAGAGCUUGCAUAGAUGAGGAAAUAUCAUCAGAUAAUCUUUACUUCCAUUGAGAGAGAUGGUCAAUUUCCAGUCAGAAUGGGAGGAGAAAAUCGUUUAUAAAGCAUAUGAGGACAGUGGGGAGCGCUAAUAUUGGCCAAUGUGUCAAUAAUAUCUUGAGAAGAUUAAUGAUUGAUGAGCUGGCCAUGAAAUUCUCAUAUACUGGCCGUGCAUCAAACGGGAACACAAAAACUCCAUUUCAUGGGAGUGAGAUAUCGAAAUGCAUACUGAGUAAGUAGGCUACCGUAUUCCUUUAUAGUCGAAUAUAUGACAUUUUUGGUUAUGUAAAUAUGGAUGUUACUUAUUUUUAUUGUAUGUUAAUUUAUAUGUUAGCAAGGUUAGCGUUUUAGGCCAUAUUUACACUGCACUGUAGUAGAUGUAUUUUCAAACCAUAUUUGUGCCGUAUUUGUUUUUCAAACCAUACCUGUAGGUACCUAUGUACGAAUAAAAACAAACAGAAAUUCAAGUACCCAUUUUAAAAUUAGCAUAUUUUUCUUAUAAAUAAAAAUAUUAGA
Molecule: long non-coding RNA, 3899 nt
Organism: Nilaparvata lugens (brown planthopper)
Lineage: Eukaryota; Metazoa; Arthropoda; Insecta; Hemiptera; Delphacidae
Exons: 3
Source: RefSeq, a predicted model, not a curated record